RNAcentral lists this ribosomal RNA (497 nucleotides) under uncultured bacterium. Its description in RNAcentral is "partial 16S ribosomal RNA". It matches the Rfam family "Bacterial small subunit ribosomal RNA", at positions 28 to 507 of the family's 1533-position model. The record is from RNAcentral.
GAUGAACGCUGGCGGCGUGCCUAAUACAUGCAAGUCGAGCGAACGGACGAGAAGCUUGCUCCUCUGAUGUUAGCGGCGGACGGGUGAGUAACACGUGGAUAACCUCCCUAUAAGACUGGGAUCACUUCGGGAAACCGUAGCUAAUACCGGAUAAUAUCUUGAACCGCAUGGUUCAAAAGUGAAAGACGGUCUUGCUGUCACUUAUAGAUGGAUCCGCUCUGCAUUAGCGAGUUGGUAAGGUAACGGCUUACCAAGGCAACGAUGCAUAGCCGACCUGAGAGGGUGAUCGGCCACACUGGAACUGAGACACGGUCCAGACUCCUACGGGAGGCAGCAGUAGGGAAUCUUCCGCAAUGGGCGAAAGCCUGACGGAGCCACGCCGCGUGAGUGAUGAAGGUCUUCGGAUCGUAAAGCUCUGUUAUUAGGGAAGAACAUAUGUGUAAGUAACUGUGCACAUAUUGACGGUACCUAAUCAGAAAGCCACGGCUAACUACGUG